RNAcentral lists this long non-coding RNA (504 nucleotides) under Oncorhynchus kisutch (coho salmon). RNAcentral's name for it is "lncRNA (ENSOKIG00005004218.1)". Lineage: Eukaryota; Metazoa; Chordata; Actinopteri; Salmoniformes; Salmonidae. The record is from RNAcentral.
UCAUUAUCCACAGCCAGCAUGCAUCCCUCGCUCUCUCUUUUUCUCCAUCUCCCGCUCUCUUUCUGCAGUUCUCCAUCCAUCCCUCUCUACUCUGUCCCCGCCUACAGAAGGUUACAAGGUGAAGACAGGGACUACAAGUACGACAGUGGCCGUGUGGAUGAGGUAGCACUUCCGCCAGCCACCACUGAGAGGCGCUGUCGCUCAACCUCAGCCCUGGCAGAGAAACCCACUUGAACUUCUGGAUCGGACCGGAGACAGCGUCAGCUGCUCACUUCGGUGCCAGCAUCUAAAAGUUACCCGGGGUGGCGAGAUCUGCUGAGCUGUCUCUUCUUCAACCCACUGCAGUACGACUUAUUAACCCAAACUCCCCGUCUAAACUUUUACUAUCUCUCUCUAUCUUUCUAGUCUCACUGUUGAGGGUUAAACCAGCAUGUGUUCUAUCAAUCUGUGGUCCAAUAUAAACUAAUCCCUCUUAUUUUGUUAAUCCAAUUUCCGGACGUGUUC